This 490-nucleotide ribosomal RNA is filed under the name uncultured bacterium. Its description in RNAcentral is "partial 16S ribosomal RNA". It matches the Rfam family "Bacterial small subunit ribosomal RNA", at positions 30 to 507 of the family's 1533-position model. The record is from RNAcentral.
AUUGAACGCUGGCGGCAUGCCUUACACAUGCAAGUCGAACGGCAGCAUGAUCUAGCUUGCUAGAUUGAUGGCGAGUGGCGAACGGGUGAGUAAUACAUCGGAACGUGCCCUGUAGUGGGGGAUAACUAGUCGAAAGAUUAGCUAAUACCGCAUACGACCUGAGGGUGAAAGUGGGGGACCGCAAGGCCUCAUGCUAUAGGAGCGGCCGAUGUCUGAUUAGCUAGUUGGUGAGGUAAAGGCUCACCAAGGCGACGAUCAGUAGCUGGUCUGAGAGGACGAUCAGCCACACUGGGACUGAGACACGGCCCAGACUCCUACGGGAGGCAGCAGUGGGGAAGUUUGGACAAUGGGCGAAAGCCUAAUCCAGCAAUGCCGCGUGUGUGAAGAAGGCCUUCGGGUUGUAAAGCACUUUUGUCCGGAAAGAAAUGGAUCUGGUUAAUACCUGGGGUCGAUGACGGUACCGGAAGAAUAAGGACCGGCUAACUACGUG